AGUCGUAACAAGGUUUCUGUAGGUGAACCUGCAGAAGGAUCAUUAGUGAAGAUUUGGGCAGGCCAUACGGACGCCAAAAAAGUGUCCCUGGCCGCCUACACCCACUAUACAUCCACAAACCCGUGUGCACUGUCUUGGAGAAAGGCUUCUUGAGAAGUUAUGUGACCUCUCUUGGAGGUCUUUCUUCGCUACAAACUCGAAUGGUUAGUAUGAACGUGGAACUUGGUUGGACCGUCACUGGCCAACAAACUAUACACAACUUUCGACAACGGAUCUCUUGGUUCUCCCAUCGAUGAAGAACGCAGCGAAACGCGAUAGGUAAUGUGAAUUGCAGAAUUCCGUGAAUCAUCGAAUCUUUGAACGCACCUUGCGCUCUAUGGCAAUCCGUAGAGCAUGCCUGUUUGAGUGCCAUGAAAUCUCCCACCCCAAGCGGUUUUUGAAUGAAACGGCUUGGCGGAUGGGGUCUGGAUGGGUGCCUCUGCCUGUGCUAAACCUUAGCCCACAGGCUCGCCCGAAAUGCAUGAGCGCCUUGGGACACUUUGCAUCCGCCUCUCUUGUGGGAGGAGGCGGCCAGGCAGUGUUUUUCUCCAGGCAUGGCAUGAUACGUCAUUUUGCUAUGUCGCCCAAUGGAGGAAUGUUUGGUUGUGUCUGCGUGUGCUUCGAACUUGCCUCUGUACAAAAUCCCCUUUCACUUUCUGGUCCAAAACAGGUACGAUCACCCGCUGAACUUAAGCUUAUCAAUAAUCGGGAGUAAAUACCUAGUUAUUUCUCAGCCGCCUGCUUGUCGUCCAUAUGGGAAAAUUUCCUAACGCCCUCGGAAUGCAUAGCUUGGAUUAUUCAUUUGUGGUCUCUUAUAUAUUUUUGGUGAUUUUCUGGAUCUUAUUGUUAUCCGUUGUAUAUAUCUCAUUUCCUCACAAUUCUCAUAACUCAAUAAAAUCCGUAAUAAGUCG
RNAcentral lists this ribosomal RNA (950 nucleotides) under uncultured fungus. RNAcentral's name for it is "eukaryotic LSU rRNA". The stretch from base 258 to 411 matches the Rfam family "5.8S ribosomal RNA". Lineage: Eukaryota; Fungi. The record is from RNAcentral.